Molecule: small nucleolar RNA, 142 nt
Organism: Tachyglossus aculeatus (Australian echidna)
Lineage: Eukaryota; Metazoa; Chordata; Mammalia; Monotremata; Tachyglossidae
Source: RefSeq, a predicted model, not a curated record
AACCUUCCUCAGGGUCGCACCUGGAGAGUUUCCAGUACUCUACCAGUCUCGACUAUGGAAGGGAGAGCCAAGCGGAGACAUACACCCGUUCCGUUCCUAGCUUGGGCAGUGGCUAGCCAGUGGAAGGCAAUCUGCUACAAGU